Molecule: ribosomal RNA, 270 nt
Filed under: uncultured prokaryote
Description: partial 16S ribosomal RNA
Rfam family: Bacterial small subunit ribosomal RNA
Source: RNAcentral
GACGAACCGUCCAAACGUUAUUCGGAAUCACUGGGCUUAAAGGGUGCGUAGGCGGCCCGGAAAGUUGGGUGUGAAAGCCCUCGGCUCAACCGAGGAAAUGCGCCCAAAACUGUCGGGCUAGAGGGAGACAGAGGUGAGCGGAACUUAGGGUGGAGCGGUGAAAUGCGUUGAGAUCCUAAGGAACACCAGUAGCGAAAGCGGCUCACUGGGUCUCUUCUGACGCUGAGUGCACGAAAGCCAGGGGAGCGAAGAGGAUUAGAUACCCCAGUA